CAAAUCGUACCCCAAACCGACACAGGUGGUCAGGUAGAGAAUACCAAGGCGCUUGAGAGAACUCGGGUGAAGGAACUAGGCAAAAUGGUGCCGUAACUUCGGGAGAAGGCACGCUGACACGUAGGUGAAGUGAUUUACUCAUGGAGCUGAAGUCAGUCGAAGAUACCAGCUGGCUGCAACUGUUUAUUAAAAACACAGCACUGUGCAAACACGAAAGUGGACGUAUACGGUGUGACGCCUGCCCGGUGCCGGAAGGUUAAUUGAUGGGGUCAGCGCAAGCGAAGCUCCUGAUCGAAGCCCCGGUAAACGGCGGCCGUAACUAUAACGGUCCUAAGGUAGCGAAAUUCCUUGUCGGGUAAGUUCCGACCUGCACGAAUGGCGUAAUGAUGGCCAGGCUGUCUCCACCCGAGACUCAGUGAAAUUGAACUCGCUGUGAAGAUGCAGUGUACCCGCGGCAAGACGGAAAGACCCCGUGAACCUUUACUAUAGCUUGACACUGAACAUUGAGCCUUGAUGUGUAGGAUAGGUGGGAGGCUUUGAAGUGUGGACGCCAGUCUGCAUGGAGCCGACCUUGAAAUACCACCCUUUAAUGUUUGAUGUUCUAACGUGGACCCGUUACCCGGGUUGCGGACAGUGUCUGGUGGGUAGUUUGACUGGGGCGGUCUCCUCCUAAAGAGUAACGGAGGAGCACGAAGGUUGGCUAAUCCUGGUCGGACAUCAGGAGGUUAGUGCAAUGGCAUAAGCCAGCUUGACUGCGAGCGUGACGGCGCGAGCAGGUGCGAAAGCAGGUCAUAGUGAUCCGGUGGUUCUGAAUGGAAGGGCCAUCGCUCAACGGAUAAAAGGUACUCCGGGGAUAACAGGCUGAUACCGCCCAAGAGUUCAUAUCGACGGCGGUGUUUGGCACCUCGAUGUCGGCUCAUCACAUCCUGGGGCUGAAGUAGGUCCCAAGGGUAUGGCUGUUCGCCAUUUAAAGUGGUACGCGAGCUGGGUUUAGAACGUCGUGAGACAGUUCGGUCCCUAUCUGCCGUGGGCGCUGGAGAACUGAGGGGGGCUGCUCCUAGUACGAGAGGACCGGAGUGGACGCAUCACUGGUGUUCGGGUUGUCAUGCCAAUGGCACUGCCCGGUAGCUAAAUGCGGAAGAGAUAAGUGCUGAAAGCAUCUAAGCACGAAACUUGCCCCGAGAUGAGUUCUCCCUGAGACUUUAGGUCUCCUGAAGGAACGUUGAAGACGACGACGUUGAUAGGCCGGGUGUGUAAGCGCAGCGAUGCGUUGAGCUAACCGGUACUAAUGAACCGUGAGGCUUAACCUUACAACGCCG
This 1319-nucleotide ribosomal RNA is filed under the name Salmonella enterica. Its description in RNAcentral is "partial 23S ribosomal RNA". It matches the Rfam family "Bacterial large subunit ribosomal RNA", at positions 1638 to 2925 of the family's 2925-position model. The record is from RNAcentral. Lineage: Bacteria; Pseudomonadati; Pseudomonadota; Gammaproteobacteria; Enterobacterales; Enterobacteriaceae.